GAGUUCAGAACAAGGAUGCAGUCUUCAUGACUAAGCCGAUUAAUGAAAGGACGCUUAAAGGAACAUUUUUUGGGAACUACAAACCUAGGACAGACCUUCCCUCUGUUGUGGACAUGUACAUGAACAAGGAACUGGAGGUAGAGAAGUUCAUAACUCAUCGAGUUCCUUUCUCCGAGAUCAACAAAGCCUUUGAUUACAUGGUGAAGGGGGAAGGAUUGCGAUG
This is a non-coding RNA of Prunus avium (sweet cherry), 223 nucleotides long. Lineage: Eukaryota; Viridiplantae; Streptophyta; Magnoliopsida; Rosales; Rosaceae. The record is from RefSeq and is a predicted model, not a curated record.